UUUGCUGUUUUAGUAAACAAGUGAAUCCCUUCUUAAAUGGCGUUACUUGUUACAGAAAUGUCUCCAAACAGAAACAUCUAACGAGGAAUCAAAGGACCGUGGAGGGGUUGUGUGUGGGUAACGGGGUCGUCCCCGCGGAGCCCGCAGGUGCGGCCGGAGCCCUGGGAGGAGGCUUCCUCCGGGUCGAGGCCCGCACUUCACAAAGGCCCUCGGAAAGGAGGGCGGUGACCAGGGCAUCGCGGGAGCAUCCGACCUCAUCAUUGUUGCUGCUCCUGGAUCCGCUCAGACGUGGAGGCGGGAACGCUCUGCGCGCUGGCUCGCCUGCCUGUCCUUUCCACGGAAAUGGCUCGAGAGAAAACGUGGGAAAAUGACAGAAUUUCCCGUUUUUUAGGGUCUAAAAUGGGUCAGCUGUAAUGUCAGCCAGUGGCGGUCAGAUGCUUCUGCAGCUACUCAGAGGACUGCCCUGGAGAAAGUGCCUCUGAGUAACCAGAUCUGUGUUCUGUGUCUCCUGUUCUGACUACCCAGCAAAUGAUGUGAAGGCGACGGCAGCCGUGGACGUUCUGCCAGAUGAAGGGUGAAGCGGGAUCCCAGUCAGAAGCAGGGGAGGUGCAUCUGAGGGCAGGGGAGGCAGCUCCACCAGCAGGGAGGGGCGUUCAGGCAGGGACAGCUGCUCACCUGCCCAUGAUGGGGGAAGAAAUCUACAGAUCCCCAGGAGUCUCUAACAUCACUCCUCUUCGUGCAGCUCCCUCCUCCCAUAUCUGCUCUGGCUCCCUAUUGCCUGCAGGAGCAUGUUCUUCCUGGGCAUCACCACGACCUGACAUGUAACCUCUGGGAUCCUCCUGACUGAGGCCGUGCACUGUCAUUCACAUACACUCAAUGUCUCCUGCCUUCCAGCCGCUGCUCCUGUCUUCUCCCCACAAUUCCACCCACUCAGAGCCUCUCUCACAGUCCAAGGAGAGCAGUGCACUCCUCCUUCCAUCUUCAGCAGCCCAGACUUGGUCUCCAGUUAGGGGACUGUUUUCAAGGAAGCUGCAAACAACCCAGGACUGGUCUUUGCAGGUGUUCUACUGAUUUUCUUGAACUGUCUUAAAAGUGGAAGCAAAGUCCUGGGAAGGGGAGCAGAGAUGAGGGGGCUUCUAGAUGAAGCCCCGCCAAGAGGUUAUCGGUGGACUGGCUCUCUCCCAGCUCUCUACCCCAUCCUGUGGGGACAGUUAACACAAGAAAGAGUUUUCUUAAUGUCCCAGCAACGUGGCCCAGCUGUGGCUGCUUUGUGUAUCCCUUGUCCUGGGAGCUUCUCUGUGGCUUCUCCACGCAGGUGAGGAACAGGGCAGAGGCAGCCAGGAUGGAAGGGGCUCCCCUGCCCGCUGGGUCUCAUCAGACAGGCGAACUGACACUGUCAUUUCUAACCACAUACAGUGUGGAAAGGACAAUCACAAAGUCUAGGACAUUGUAGGUAUUCAAUAAAUGAGAGCUAUUAUCUGACAACACACACUCACGCACACAGUGAAUUGUGCGCACACACAUAUACACUGCUCUUUCUCUCUCUGAAGCACGAGUCAAGCCCAGGGCAGGGGCCCAGCAUGGAGUGUGUUGCAUGAGCCCACUGCUGUCAGGGAGCUGGGGAGCUGGUGAAACGCAGCAGGACUCAGAGCUGUGUCCCCGGGAGGCCACCAUGUGAGUGAGCCCCCUACCCAGCCGUCCUGCCCACCAUGGGCUCUUUGGAGCUGGGCACUGGUAGGAAGGAUGUGCGGAAUCCUGUCUGCAGCCGGCACGGAGGGGUGACUCGGGGCUUCAAGAAUUCAAACUGAUGACAGAGGAGAAUGACGGAUACACACGACAUCCUUAUGCUGAGUAAGAGUACACACUGUGUGGUUUAAUGUGAAGUUCUAGAACAGGCAAAAUGUAUCCAUGAGGCAGAAAAAUCAGAACAGUGGUUGUCCUUCCUGAUUCGAUGUGGGGACUGACUGGGAAGGGUCGAGAGGGGGCUUUGUGGACAUAAGGCUGAUGGUCUACAACUCGAAGGGGCUUGGGUUCCACAGGUACACGCACUUGUGAAAACAUCACUUAAGAGAUGUGCAUUUGAUAGGAUACAAUUUUUAGGAAAAAUAAACUGUAAUAAUAUUGAACUCUAGCACUACACACUCUGAAUUAUUCAGGGCACAUGUUACUGAUGUCUGUAACAGUCCUUGAAAUGGAUUAAAAUUAAGACGGGUUGAUGGGAGGAGUAUGAACACAUGGACAGAUACACAUAAAGCAAGUACAUUCAAAUGUUAAUGGUAGAAUCAACACUGUGGGAAUAUGGGGUUAAAUAAAAAAUUAUUUCAUAUUUCCCUUGUGUUUUAAAAUUUUCAUAAUUAAAUGUUGGGAGAAAAACUGCACGAGCCCCUUCCACUUUUGCCGUUUUUGGAAGACGCCAAGCAAAGGGACAUGAAUGUUCAGGGUAACUGGAUCUGCUCGGAGGAGAAGCCUGUGAGGAGCAGGAGCCACACAGUGAGGAACGGUUGCUCAGCAUCUGUGGUUCCUCUAGGAAUGCCAGAAACCUCUUGCCUUCAGAGUUCCCUGCCCCCAACUCCCUGGAUGGGGGAGGCCUUCCUCAGUCAGAGGCCAGCCAGGGGGCCCAGGAUUGCGGACACGACCCUACGAAGGACACACUGCUGUCUGGAUGUGCCUGGUCAGGGAGAUUAUUCCACCACAGGGGGAGACAGCCUUUGCACUGGUGACACCUCGUGAAUAAUCCCUUAAUGUGGACUCACAUGCUUAUUCUUCUGCUGUAGUGGAGAAGAAAAUGCACCAAAUACAGCUGUCAGUGGUGAGCACACCUUUCUCUCAGCCUCUUGCAGAUCCAGAACUUCUGAUGACGAGGCGCCCUAGGGCGCUGAGCUUUGCUCCAAAGAUUGAUCUACAUUUUCCUCUCUGACUUGUGCUGCGUGCAGUGCGCCCUUGCUCUGAUGCAGCUCUCUCAGUUGUCCAUCCAGCCUCUGCCCAUGUGAGCGCUGUUCCAUCUGGGAAGGGAAAGCUCUGCUCUUUCUCAACACUGUAAAAGAUCCUAGAAAGAUGUGGUAACUACCCAUUCCGGGGUUUCCUCUUCCUGCUCUGCUGUUCUGCCCAGGAUUCUCUGCACAGUGCUCUCCUUCGCACCUACGCUUCCAUUCCCCUUGUCAGCCCGAGUUCCCAAGGCUUUCUGGGAUUUCCAUAACAGUUUUCAGGGUCCCUGAGCUCACAGUAUUGCUCGUCCUUGUGAAGUGCUUCCAGUUUUCUCUUCCCCCAGACCACGUGGAUUUUGGCAUUUCCUUCCCAAACCCCAAGGGCUCAUCUUGUUGAUCUCUCCUUCUUGACCUGCCCCCAGGGGAGGAAGGAGGAUGCUGGCGGGAAGGUGAGGACUUGAGUCUGUGCUGAGACCCAGAGGAGGGGCGGGGCGGGCGGCCUCUUCAGCAGGUGGACUCUGAGGGGGUCGGGAAAGAAGAGGUAGCAGAAGAGCGAGAGCGGAGAGCUUCCCUCCCCACAGACUCCAUGCAGCUUCGGGUCCUGACGACCUGGCGUCUAUCCUGCCCGUGCUGCCGCCCGCCAAUCCAGGCUGAUGCUCAGGGUGCGUCUCAACGAGGCAUCUGUGACGUCAUGCGGCUCCCCACCGUCUUGACAUCCUUGGGAAUUCCUCCUCAGCCCCCGCCUGCCUCCCUCCUCCAUCCCACUACCUGCCCUGUGCAGUCAGGAGGUGUCCCCAGUUCACUGGUGAAUUCAUUGGAUCUGUCACGUCGCCAGCUGGAAUGGGACAGGCCCUGAACCCAGGGAUCCCAGGCAAGGGCGCUGAGACAGCAGGGUCGCAAUCCCAGCAGGGACUGCUUGACUCUGGGCUGGUCGUGCCCUCCCCUCUCCCGUGGAGCCUCACCCCGCCCCUCCGAAGACCCGCCCCCUGCACGCGGACUGGGUGUCCAUGGCGACGGGAAGGAAGCCGGUUCUGAAUUCCCUACUCCCUUCAUUAGUUCAUCAAUCCCUUUAUUUUCCAUAAGUGUAUCAAACAUUUCUCAGCUUGUCCUUCGUCAGCGUACAUUACAGUAUGGACUUUUGACCUUUAUUUUGGCAGCAGAUAUUUUAUUUAGUCAAAUUUGGCGCCAUGUUUAUGAACAGAAACACAGAUUUUUGCAUUGUCUGGGGAAGUUUCAGCUGGAUCUUUUUUGUGUCAAAGAAAGAGAGAAAUUAAUGAGAAUACUUCCUUGAAUAAAUCCCUUUAAAUUUAUUGCCCAUCAUCGUGGAGAUGAAUUUACUUAGGAAAAAAAUAAGAAAUUCUGAGAAUGAAGGAGGGGUGAAGAGGCAAAUGAAAUAAUUCAACCAGGCUACCACUGCAGGUGUGUGAUAUUAGACGGAGCGUGUCCAAUGGGGAGCAGCACAGAGAGUGUGAACAAAUCUUCACUGAGAGCAGAACGGUGCAGCGGAAGCGAGCUGGGCUCCCAACUCAGAAGAAGAAGACUCUUUCUGCGUGUUUACAAGUGCUCAAUUCUCUACAUAAAAUCUAGCUGUUUCCACUUUUUGCCUACUACGAAAAAUGCUACUUUGAUGAGGGUUUUCUGUUUUUGUUUGGGGUUUUUUGUUUUGCUUUUGUUUUCAUGUGCAGUGGGGAGGAAAUGAGUGUUGAGGAG
This is a long non-coding RNA of Equus caballus (horse), 4634 nucleotides long. NCBI's taxonomy places the organism in Eukaryota, Metazoa, Chordata, Mammalia, Perissodactyla, Equidae. The record is from Ensembl.